AUAACAUACCGAAAGGUAUGCUAAUACGAGAUAAUAUGCUUUUGUCGCAUGGUAGAAGUAUCAAAGCUCCGGCGGUACAGGAUGGACCCGCGUCUGAUUAGCUAGUUGGUAAGGUAACGGCUUACCAAGGCGACGAUCAGUAGCCGACCUGAGAGGGUGAUCGGCCACAUUGGAACUGAGACACGGUCCAAACUCCUACGGGAGGCAGCAGUGGGGAAUAUUGCACAAUGGGCGAAAGCCUGAUGCAGCAACGCCGCGUGAGCGAUGAAGGCCUUCGGGUCGUAAAGCUCUGUCCUCAAGGAAGAUAAUGACGGUACUUGAGGAGGAAGCCCCGGCUAACUACGUGCCAGCAGCCGCGGUAAUACGUAGGGGGCUAGCGUUAUCCGGAAUUACUGGGCGUAAAGGGUGCGUAGGUGGUUUCUUAAGUCAGAGGUGAAAGGCUACGGCUCAACCGUAGUAAGCCUUUGAAACUGGGAAACUUGAGUGCAGGAGAGGAGAGUGGAAUUCCUAGUGUAGCGGUGAAAUGCGUAGAUAUUAGGAGGAACACCAGUUGCGAAGGCGGCUCUCUGGACUGUAACUGACACUGAGGCACGAAAGCGUGGGGAGCAAACAGGAUUAGAUACCCUGGUAGUCCACGCCGUAAAC
Molecule: ribosomal RNA, 645 nt
Filed under: uncultured bacterium
Lineage: Bacteria
Description: bacterial SSU rRNA
Rfam family: Bacterial small subunit ribosomal RNA
Source: RNAcentral